Molecule: small nuclear RNA, 23 nt
Filed under: Arabidopsis thaliana (thale cress)
Lineage: Eukaryota; Viridiplantae; Streptophyta; Magnoliopsida; Brassicales; Brassicaceae
Description: snRNA_09519
Source: RNAcentral
ACUUUCCGAAAAGGUAUCACAUG